Molecule: long non-coding RNA, 2789 nt
Organism: Colletes gigas
Lineage: Eukaryota; Metazoa; Arthropoda; Insecta; Hymenoptera; Colletidae
Exons: 2
Source: RefSeq, a predicted model, not a curated record
UAACAUAAACAAAACAAAUAUAAAACGAUUGUCGUUGUAAUGAACGUUUGUAAAGAAAUCGUGUCGAAUAUCGAUGGACGAUGAUCUGUCGCGAUCGCUUGGUAUCUGUCCACGGAGUUGGAUGAACUUUACUUCCGGUCAACGAAUAGAACAUUUUGGUUUCAUUCGUAAAUUAAAAUCCGUUAACCGAUUUUUAUUCGUUGUUCGAAAAUAAAGUUUGCUCGAUCAUCGGGGAUCUUUGGAUCGACCAUGACGCGGUAUUCGCUGAGCGUUGCAUUAACAGCAUGAAAAGAAAGAAGUUAUGGGUACAGUGCAAUAAAUAAACACGAAAUAGAGACCUUUAAUGUGGGAUAUCGUAGUUCGUCGAAAACAAUAGUUCACUGAUUAUACUAUGGAAGAAAAGAACCCCAAGGGCGCAGUUUAGGGAAAAUAUUAAAGUCCAUAAUCUAUAACGUUAGAAGAGUAGACGUAAAAUUUUUAUCUGUCCAUUCAUUUCAUAAUUAAAAUUGUUAUCUUCGUUCAACGAAUAACAUUUUUUUUUAUCUUAUACUCGAAAUUGGUAUCUAGAUAAGAAUUUUAUCCAUCUCCAGGGUUGUGUAAUGAUGAUAAGAACGUUGUAGACCCAAUUAUAUUUUUAAUAUAGUUCCUUCGUUCUUUAUUUAAACUUUGGUACAUUGAAUUUGUUGGAUAAGCGUUCAGCGAACGACGCGUUAACCUUUCGCAAUUUCGUGAUCCAUUGAUCGCGGCACGAUCAACGUCCGAUCUUCUCGUCGCUGUGCUCUCGCGUUGUCGUUCAUCUUCGUAAGUGCGAUACAACGGUAGAUUUCCCGCGACACGCGUCGUCCACGAAUAAAGACGAACAUCCGAGGGACACCUUAGAAAUUGUCAUCGAAGUCUCGAUCACGUAGAUCGAAUCGAAAGGAACGACGAUCGUGGAUCGCGUGUAGUCCGAAAUUCUACUAACUCUGUAUGUAAGCGUAGAUGUUUUUAGUGUGUGCUCGAAGUGUAAUCGAUCUACGAGGCGCUUCCGGAAGUUCCGAGGAACGCUGAGAAGUUCAUUUGUUUGUUUACGGGAGUAAUUGAGUACAGGGUCCACAAAGGAAAGGAACAAAAUAGAGUUUUGGGUUCUCGUAAAAAAAGACUAAAAACGUAAAUUCAUUUAGAUUCUUUGAACUCUCAAAAAAUAUUAAAAAACAUAAAAUAUGUUUCUCUGUUACUUGAAAUAUCGUUUCUAAAUUAAUUCGAACGAGCGAACCUGUACUCGAAUUCGCGCGAACGCCACGAGUCAGUACAAACUCACGCCUGUGGUGUCCACAUCCUCCCCCACUCCUACCACACACCCCCGUCGCGAUCGGAUGCGUGUGUACUUGUGUACGAAGCGAGUUCUUUUAUCCACGCUCGAUGACAGUCCAGUUGCGUUUCGUUCGAUAGAAGACGAGGAACAAGAACGAUUAAAAAAGGAUACCGAAACACAGGAUCGAAACGGAGAAAUAUGCAAACGGUAACCCCGGUGACACCUCGAGCCGAUACGGGAAAGAAGAACGUAAAAAAUGAACUUUCAUCGAACGCGAUUCUGUCCAGCCAUUGCCGACUACUGUUCAACCGUAGAUGUACACACACACACACACACACAGAUAUAAAGAAAAAAAAGAGAAUCUACCUUAGAUAAAGAGAAAACAGAGAGAAUGAUUAUAUGUAUAUAAUAUAUAUAUGCAUACACAUGAUGUACACAGCGCGCGCACGUAAUACGUUCAUGCGCCAUUUUGCACAGCCGAUGCUACGCGAAAGGACGAGGAUCGUCAGAGCCGUAGGGAUUAUUUUCACCGGUGUAGUUUUAGUUUUAUAUAUCCCACGGAAGAUCGAUAGACUUUAGUGAGAUCUCCCGAGCAAAAAUAUCGCGUAGGUUCGAUUUACUUGUCCAAGUGACCCAUCUCUUUCAAGAUGUAUACCACGUAUCUCGAGAUAACCUGUAAAGUUACGAGGAGCAAAAGGAAACUACAAUCAACACACAGUUCAAGGUCUGGUUAAGUUAACCAUUUCCCGGGUAUCCGAGUCCUCGCCUGCCGUUCACCGAGUGUUUCUCAACCACCCACGGAUCACUCGUUGUGUCUGCGGAACACGAAUACAAUCAACAGGCGUGGAUAGUGAUCGCAUUGCGUGUGUGUUCGUGUGGAUGCAUGGAUGGGCGUAUUUUUUGUUUUUCCUGUGUGUAUGUAAGUACGUGAAAAGAAAUUCCAAUGAGUUUCGUCGAUCGUUAUAUUAAGCAUUAAUCGUCGAUAAGGUUAAUACUUAGAGAAAACCGAGUGGUAUUUUAAUAUGAUCGUAAGGGGCUACCGAUUAACUUCGUCAUAGUCGAUCGUCUACGUUACUGUGAACGUUUCAUAAUAUGGUUGUCGCGUGCUCGAACCAGCUUCGUUGGCGAGUCAGCAAUAUCAUUCGGAUUCCGCGUACCCCGUGCAUUUUGCAAAUCUGCCACGAUAGACGUUCCGCUGUGUUCGCAUUAUUUCUGGAUAUUCACCGUGUCGCGCCGUGGAAAAUAUCGGAAACGUUUCGUAUACGUCGUGACUGCCCCGCACAGAUCCGAAUAAUAUUUGCGGUCCUAAUUCGCGUUGUCGUCUAGUCGUGCGUGCGAUUUACACGUCGUACACGUAUGCACGGUUCUCUCUCCUUCGUCCCUCUGCCGACGCGCGGAAAAACCUAGCGAAUUUUGUAAAUUAGCGACAAAUUCGGGACUCGCCGUGUCACGCUUGCGUGGUAACGAAUACAAAAAGCAGAUGAAAUUAUGAACA